Molecule: ribosomal RNA, 579 nt
Filed under: Meloidogyne incognita (southern root-knot nematode)
Lineage: Eukaryota; Metazoa; Nematoda; Chromadorea; Rhabditida; Meloidogynidae
Description: LSU rRNA
Rfam family: Eukaryotic large subunit ribosomal RNA
Source: RNAcentral
CAUAAUUUUUUGUGGUGCAUUUACUUGAUUGGUGCUUGGGGAUGUUUGAGGCAGAUUUGUUUCCGCCGUUUUGAGGCCAGCUUGCUGGUACCCAAACGGUGUUAGCAUUUUUUGUCUUGGGCAUUUGAGUAUGGCUCACGGGUAUUUAUUGGACCGAUCUGAGUGUAAGUUACGGUCGCAUGCGACACGUGCUUUUCAAUUAGUUCGGUCCAGUUAAUGCUCUCGUACUCGUUCCCCAUGUAAAAGCCGGUCAUCUAUCCGACCCGUCUUGAAACACGGACCAAGGAGUUUAUCGUGUGCGCAAGUUUUUGGGUGUUAAAAACUUAAAAGCGAAAUGAAAGUAAAUGUCUCUUUAGAGUCUGAUGUGCGAUCUUGUAAAAAAGUGUAGCAUGGCCCCAUUCUAACUGUUUACAGUAGGGUGGCGGAAGAGCGUACGCGGUGAGACCCGAAAGAUGGUGAACUAUUCCUGAGCAGGACGAAGCCAGAGGAAACUCUGGUGGAAGUCCGAAGCGGUUCUGACGUGCAAAUCGAUCGUCUGACUUGGGUAUAGGGGCGAAAGACUAAUCGAACCAUCUAGUA